UGGCGGCGCGCCUAACACAUGCAAGUCGAGCGGGAAGCUUUUUAAGGAUUCUUCGGAUGAAUUAAAAAGUGGAGAGCGGCGGACGGGUGAGUAACGCGUGAGAAACCUGCCCUAUACAGGGGGAUAGCCAUUGGAAACGAUGAUUAAUACCCCAUAUGACCACAGUAUCGCAUGAUACAGCGGUGAAAACUCCGGUGGUAUAGGAUGGUCUCGCGUCUGAUUAGCUAGUUGGUGGGGUAACGGCCUACCAAGGCGACGAUCAGUAGCCGGCCUGAGAGGGUGACCGGCCACACUGGAACUGAGACACGGUCCAGACUCCUACGGGAGGCAGCAGUGGGGAAUAUUGCACAAUGGGCGAAAGCCUGAUGCAGCGACGCCGCGUGAACGAUGAAGGCUUUCGAGUCGUAAAGUUCUGUUCUUGGGGAAGAUAACGACGGUACCCAAGGAGAAAGCACCGGCUAAAUACGUGCCAGCAGCCGCGGUAAUACGUAUGGUGCAAGCGUUGUCCGGAAUUACUGGGCGUAAAGAGUUCGUAGGCGGUUAGAUUAGUCAGAAGUGAGAGGCUACGGCUCA
This 573-nucleotide ribosomal RNA is filed under the name uncultured bacterium. RNAcentral describes it as "bacterial SSU rRNA". It matches the Rfam family "Bacterial small subunit ribosomal RNA", at positions 37 to 611 of the family's 1533-position model. The record is from RNAcentral.